RNAcentral lists this long non-coding RNA (1782 nucleotides) under Homo sapiens (human). RNAcentral describes it as "PREDICTED lncRNA (TCONS_00194021)". Lineage: Eukaryota; Metazoa; Chordata; Mammalia; Primates; Hominidae. The record is from RNAcentral.
GUUACUAGAGGAGAGGAGAAGCUCCGUGCAGGGGAAUCCGGGAUGCUGGAAAGCUGGGGAAUUUAAUACAGAGCUGGCUCUGCUCCAUCCUGGAUCUUCUUUAUGUUCUUUGACAAUGUGCCAGAAACCCUGACAAUGAACCGCUGUCUCUGACUAAUUGUUCUAGUGGAGAUGUCUCCUGUUUGACUUGAUUUUAAACUGUGGAGCACGUCAAGAGAAAGCUCACUGAUCUGCCGAGGGUUUGUGCUUUUCUGUCUUCAUGCAUCUGUUGUGGGUGAAGAGAGCAAAGAUUCUUCAUUCAAUCAAAGGCCCCCUUUGGAGAUGCUGAGAAGGAAAUUUCCUUUGGAAAUUCCCAAAGGAAUUGGGCUGUCUCUCUCUCUUUCUCUGGUUGCAUUUCACCAGCUAAGGAGUUGCAUUGGCUUCUGCUCUCCUCUCUUGCUCACCUACAUUGUGAGGCAGAUGAGAGUGGAGGUUGUAAAUCACCCUCCAUGCAAUGGUUCAUCAUAAAGGAUAUGGAGCAAAAUUAGAGGAGGCACGAGAAGGAAAGCCGGUGAUGAACAAGGAAAGUGCCUGGUUGAAGCUAGCUUGCAAUCCCAAAGUCAGAAGGUUGCCUGGGAAGCCAUGAAACAAAGCCAAAUCAAGGCAAAGCAGACACAUGGAGAUUUUGAGACUGAGAAGAGGAAAACUGAGGACAUUCAUGUGAGAUGGUUUCAAGUUUCCCUUAGAAGGAGAAGUUAUCUUCAGAAGGUCAGGUUGGUGAGGUGGGAGUUCAAAAACAACAAAGUAUGUAGCUACCAUUGUGAGGAAGACCAUGGAAAAUGGACGAAUCAGAAUGAAAGGCUUUCUGAACAAGACCCAGAGACAGAAGCAGAUAAUGCAAGUGUCAUCUACAUCUGGCAAAAGCCAAAGGUUUGGAAGAUGGAAAAAGGAAUCCAGGCAAAAAGGAGCCCAAGAUUGAAGUGAAUGACCAGGUGCACCAGUUCAAAUGCAAUCAGGAGGGACAGGGGUAGAGGGAGAAGCCUAGAGCAGCGCUUCUCAAACUGACUAUUCAAGUCACCUGGAGAUCUUGGUGAAAUGCAGACUCUGGUGCAGUAGGUCCUGGCGGGAACUUGAAAUUCUGCAUUUUGACCAAGGUCCAAGGUGAAUGUCCAGUGCUGUUGUCCUUGGCCUGCAGCAGGAGGAGCAGGGAUCUAAGACUUGGAGAGCAAAUGUCAAGCUCAGAAGAAAGACUGGAAGUUUGGGGACAAAACCCAAAUAUGGCUAAAGAAAGCCUGUAGGAUGAAGUUGGAAGUUCCAGAGCCUUCUCUUCACAUAAUGGGACAUGCAAGGGGGAAACCAAAUCAAAAGUGUAGAAUGCGUCGCUGGAUGUCUUUGACAUGGUGAGGUCUUGUUCCUAACGGAGCUUUUCCUCUUGGUCACAUUACCUCUGAAGGUAUCUAGGGCCCCAUACUCUAUUCCGGGGGUGCUGUGGCCCACAUGGGUCUGCAUGGUCAGACAGUGGCUAAAGCAAAUUCUCUGGCUGCAGAAGAGCCUCAGUCCUUCUGUCUGAUUGGCUGGCAACAUGACCAUGAGUGUGCCCUAGCAGAUGGCCAUGAGGAGGACAACUGGGCACAAACUGGGCAGCCAUGUGGCACUGGGAUGAAUGGCAUCACUCCCAAGACCUGGAGCCUCUUGAUCUCACUUAGCUCCUGUCUCCAUGGUCCCUCUUCUUCCUCUCUCCUUCAGGGGUGGAGUCUUAAUUUAUCUGACAGCAGAGAAAAAAUGUGUUCUGCAGGUAUAUGC